This 796-nucleotide ribosomal RNA is filed under the name uncultured bacterium. RNAcentral's name for it is "bacterial SSU rRNA". It matches the Rfam family "Bacterial small subunit ribosomal RNA", at positions 544 to 1353 of the family's 1533-position model. The record is from RNAcentral.
CCUGGAUUUACUGGGCGUAAAGCGCGUGUAGGUGGUUUUGUAAGUAGGGCGUGAAAGCUCUGGCUCAACUGGGAGAGGCCGUUCUAAACUGCAGAACUAGAGGAUGGUAGAGGGAGGUGGAAUUCCAGGUGUAGCGGUGGAAUGCGCAGAUAUCUGGAGGAACACCAGUGGCGAAAGCGGCCUCCUGGACCAUUCAUGACACUCAGACGCGAAAGCUAGGGUAGCAAACGGGAUUAGAGACCCCGGUAGUCCUAGCCCUAAACGAUGUAGACUAGACGUCGGUGGUGUAAUAGCUGUCGGUGUCCAAGCUAACGCGAUAAGUCUACCGCCUGGGGACUACGGCCGCAAGGUUAAAACUCAAAGGAAUUGACGGGUCCCCGCACAAGCAGCGGAGCGUGUGGUUUAAUUCGUUGCUACACGAAGAACCUUACCUGGGUUUGACAUAGCAGUGGUAGGGAAGAGAAAUCGGACCGACCCUUCGGGGAGCUGUUACAGGUGUUGCAUGGCUGUCGUCAGCUCGUGUCGUGAGAUGUUCGGUUAAGUCCGCUAACGAGCGCAACCCGCGUUGUGUGUUAUAUGUGUCACACAAUACCGCCGGUAUUAAGCCGGAGGAAGGUGCGGAUGACGUCAAGUCAGCAUGACCUUUAUAUCCAGGGCUACACACACGCUACAAUGGACAGUACAACAGGUUGCCAAGCCGCGAGGCGGAGCCAAUCCUCUAAAGCUGUCCUCAGUUCAGAUUGCAGGCUGCAACUCGCCUGCAUGAAGUUGGAGUUGCUAGUAACCGCAGGUCAGC